CAGCCGCUUUAUUUUUCAAAGUAGAGCGUCUGGAUGACAAGUGAUAUAAAAAUGGUAAUUUAUGACAUUCGGAAUAGUAUCGGCUUUUUUAGCUUGUUGUCAAAGAUAAUGUCCAAGACGAAUAACCAAGAAGUUGGUUAUUGACUUCGGAAGAAAUGACAUUACGAUAAUAUUAUUGAAAAGCCCGAGUGUACCGAUUGUUGUUUAAAGCUAUUUAUAUAUUUUUGUGACGAAAUACAAUUCAUGGAAAACACCGUACAGCAUGGCUGAUAUGGACAUGGAGGCGAAGGAAUAAACCAGCACAUCCAACCUUGGUAAGAUGUUAUAACAACACACACUGUAACAUAAAUUGCAAUGCAAACCUGAUACACCGAGUAGUUAUAUUCUUUCAUGCAUGUCCGUGCAACGAAAACGAGUUUAUAAUUAUACAAUAAAUGUCAAUUGUUAUGUUGACUGGGACCACUCGAACAGUCGUAUACGUUAUAAAUACAUUUUGGGUUGAUGUUUAGUAUCGUUUACUUUAUAAAUACUUGAUGGAAAACUGCUAAGACGCCGAAAUAUCACCUUCAUCCAAGAUAUGUUUGUUGUAUCUAUCUAAAUCUUGAUAUGUGUAAACAUGGUAAAGACAAAGAGGG
Molecule: long non-coding RNA, 635 nt
Filed under: Mytilus galloprovincialis (Mediterranean mussel)
Lineage: Eukaryota; Metazoa; Mollusca; Bivalvia; Mytilida; Mytilidae
Source: RNAcentral